UACGCAGGGGGCUAGCUUGCUUCGGAAUUACUGGGCGUAAAGCGCGCGUAGGCGGGCGGCUAAGUCAGGGGUGAAAUUCCGAGGCUCAACCUCGGAACUGCCUUUGAUACUGGCUGUCUGGAGUGCGAGAGAGGUAAGUGGAAUUCCGAGUGCAGAGGUGAAAUUCGUAGAUAUUCGGAGGAACACCAGAGGCGAAGGCGGCUUACUGGCUCGAUCCUGACGAUGAGGCGCGAAAGCGUGGGGAGCAAACAGG
RNAcentral lists this ribosomal RNA (253 nucleotides) under uncultured bacterium. RNAcentral describes it as "partial 16S ribosomal RNA". It matches the Rfam family "Bacterial small subunit ribosomal RNA", at positions 524 to 776 of the family's 1533-position model. The record is from RNAcentral.